This 92-nucleotide transfer RNA is filed under the name Komagataeibacter europaeus. RNAcentral describes it as "tRNA-Ala". Lineage: Bacteria; Pseudomonadati; Pseudomonadota; Alphaproteobacteria; Acetobacterales; Acetobacteraceae. The record is from RNAcentral.
ACCGGCAGGUCGCACGCACGGCAGGCCGCCCGCUGGCGUCAGGCGCGCUGUCAAUGCGGGAGGCGGCGCUGUUCCUGGCGGCGCUGCUGCUG